This 484-nucleotide ribosomal RNA is filed under the name uncultured bacterium. RNAcentral's name for it is "partial 16S ribosomal RNA". It matches the Rfam family "Bacterial small subunit ribosomal RNA", at positions 30 to 507 of the family's 1533-position model. The record is from RNAcentral.
AUUGAACGCUGGCGGCAUGCCUUACACAUGCAAGUCGAACGGCAGCACGGACUUCGGUCUGGUGGCGAGUGGCGAACGGGUGAGUAAUGUAUCGGAACGUACCUUUCAGUGGGGGAUAACGUAGCGAAAGUUACGCUAAUACCGCAUAUUCUGUGAGCAGGAAAGCAGGGGAUCGCAAGACCUUGCGCUGAUUGAGCGGCCGAUAUCAGAUUAGCUAGUUGGUGGGGUAAAGGCCUACCAAGGCUACGAUCUGUAGCGGGUCUGAGAGGAUGAUCCGCCACACUGGAACUGAGACACGGUCCAGACUCCUACGGGAGGCAGCAGUGGGGAAUUUUGGACAAUGGGGGCAACCCUGAUCCAGCCAUGCCGCGUGAGUGAAGAAGGCCUUCGGGUUGUAAAGCUCUUUCGGCCGGGAAGAAAUCGCAUCAGCUAAUACCUGGUGUGGAUGACGGUACCGGAAGAAGAAGCACCGGCUAACUACGUG